Molecule: unclassified non-coding RNA, 172 nt
Filed under: Moritella viscosa
Lineage: Bacteria; Pseudomonadati; Pseudomonadota; Gammaproteobacteria; Alteromonadales; Moritellaceae
Description: putative sRNA
Source: RNAcentral
AACCAGAUUAAAACAUUUAUUAUCAAACACUUAACCCAUUAAAACCAUGGUGUUGUAGACUGGGGGUGGAAUAUUUGCACCAAUAUGGUGACUAAAUGUGAGCAAUGUAUCAUUUUUCGAGCAAAACCCCCAAGGUUGCACAUGCUUCGAACAAGCCUACAGCCUCAUUUUA